RNAcentral lists this ribosomal RNA (169 nucleotides) under uncultured bacterium. RNAcentral's name for it is "partial 16S ribosomal RNA". It matches the Rfam family "Bacterial small subunit ribosomal RNA", at positions 338 to 524 of the family's 1533-position model. The record is from RNAcentral.
CCUACGGGAGGCAGCAGUGGGGAAUAUUGCACAAUGGGGGAAACCCUGAUGCAGCGACGCCGCGUGAGUGAAGAAGUAUUUCGGUAUGUAAAGCUCUAUCAGCAGGGAAGAAGAUGACGGUACCUGACUAAGAAGCCCCGGCUAACUACGUGCCAGCAGCCGCGGUAAU